UUUUCCGAAAAGGUAUCACAUGCC
Molecule: non-coding RNA, 24 nt
Filed under: Arabidopsis thaliana (thale cress)
Lineage: Eukaryota; Viridiplantae; Streptophyta; Magnoliopsida; Brassicales; Brassicaceae
Source: RNAcentral